GACGAACGCUGGCGGCGUGCUUAACACAUGCAAGUCGAACGGAAAGGCCCUGCUUUUGUGGGGUGCUCGAGUGGCGAACGGGUGAGUAACACGUGAGUAACCUGCCCUUGACUUUGGGAUAACUUCAGGAAACUGGGGCUCAUACCGGAUAGGAGCUCCUGCUGCAUGGGGGGGGUUGGAAAGUUUCGGCGGUUGGGGAUGGACUCGCGGCUUAUCAGCUUGUUGGUGGGGUAGUGGCUUACCAAGGCUUUGACGGGUAGCCGGCCUGGGAGGGUGACCGGCGACAUUGGGACUGAGAUACGGCCCAGACUCCUACGGGAGGCAGCAGUGGGGAAUAUUGCACAAUGGGCGGAAGCCUGAUGCAGCAACGCCGCGUGCGGGAUGACGGCCUUCGGGUUGUAAACCGCUUUCGCCUGUGACGAAGCGUGAGUGACGGUAAUGGGUAAAGAAGCACCGGCUAACUACGUG
This 468-nucleotide ribosomal RNA is filed under the name uncultured bacterium. Its description in RNAcentral is "partial 16S ribosomal RNA". It matches the Rfam family "Bacterial small subunit ribosomal RNA", at positions 28 to 507 of the family's 1533-position model. The record is from RNAcentral.